RNAcentral lists this long non-coding RNA (5950 nucleotides) under Coffea arabica (coffee). RNAcentral describes it as "long non-coding RNA (CARA_LNC006958)". The record is from RNAcentral. Lineage: Eukaryota; Viridiplantae; Streptophyta; Magnoliopsida; Gentianales; Rubiaceae.
CACCACCACCAGUUUACAAGUCUCCGCCACCACCUUACCAUUAUUCCUCACCACCACCUCCGACGCAUUCACCUCCACCACCACCGGUUUACAAGUCACCUCCACCACCUCCUCCAGUUUACAAGUCCCCGCCACCACCUUACCAUUAUUCCUCACCACCACCUCCAGUGCAUUCACCCCCACCACCACCAGUUUACAAGUCUCCGCCACCACCUUACCAUUAUUCCUCACCACCACCUCCAGGGCAUUCACCCCCGCCACCACCAGUUUACAAGUCACCGCCACCACCUCCUCCUGUUUAUAAGUCCCCUCCACUACCUCAUCAUUAUUCCUCACCACCACCUCCAGUGCAUUCACCCCCACCACCACCAAUUUAUAAGUCUCCCCCACCGCCUCCCCCAGUAUAUAAGUCACCACCACCACCUCCUCCAGUAUACAAAUCACCUCCACCACCUCCUCCAGUUUACAAAUCUCCACCACCACCAAUUUAUAAAUACAAGUCUCCUCCACCACCUCCUCCAGUUUACAAUUCCCCACCACCACCAAUCUACAAGUCUCCACCUCCACCCUACCAUUACCACUACAAUUCUCCUCCUCCUCCUCCUCAUCACUACUAAGCAAUUGUAUCCAAGUUUUUGAGGUAAUAAUGCUAAACCAAUAUAUUAACUUUCGCAUGAUAAACUUUAUCUCUAUCAAGACAAACUGCCAUGUGCAUCAUGCCAAAUACGUACACUUAGAUCCAUGAAAAUGACUAGUAGAAGGUUUUCUUAAGAACCAAGGAACAGCAUUAGUAUUCCCUCCGUUUCCAAAACUUGUGUAUUAAAUAGAUUAAUGAAUUGUUUAACAUGCUUAUCUACUUGAAAAUGCACAAUACCCAUAACCCACUGAAAUUUUUGCAGGUAAAGGGGAAGAGAAUCUGUGUUUGAGAGCUUCAUAAAGAUGUUGAAGAAUAAGAAUAAAAGCCCAAUGCGAGGAUGUUUUCAAGUUUUUCUAUGUUUCCACUUUAAUUUGUAAAUUGAAUUUUUCGACUCAAUUAAUUCCCUGUUUGUGGGGUACGUAUUGUUUUACGUACCAUGCCGUACAUGUUUGUAAGGAUUUCUAUCCUAUUGGCAAAAGUCGGUUCCAUACAAUUAAUAAAUUCAUUUCACUUCUAUUGGCUCUACUAUUUAUGCAUGGUACGACAUUUUUUCUCUCUUUCCCUUAUAUUUUGCCUUUAAUAUUAUUGAGUCAAUAUUAAUAAUGGGCCUUUUUCUUAAAAUUAUACUAUUAUACAUAGGUAGUUUGGUCUAACGCUAAAUUCAUGUUUGUCUUUCUUUUAUUCCCUUUACAUCUCAAAGUAUACUAUAGUUUGUGAUCAUUGUGGUGAUGAUAUUACCAGCUGGUACUUAUAGUUUAAGGCAGAGACAUGAUAUUAACAACUAUCUCAUUGAAACAUAAGGAAAAAUCAUGACAAGUGUGAGUCUUGGUUAAUGCACAAUUUGUUAGUGGAAUUUAUAUUUAUAAAACUCAAAAAAAAAUUUUGACAACGCUAUUACUAAUUAAUUAAGGACUUUAUUGCUAUAACUUAUCGCUUACUAGUUUAAACUAUAAAUGAUCUCAAUACUUUUCUCCAUGAUGUCGAUUUCUUUAGACUACGAAAGGGAAAAAUUAGUGACAUAUCCCUUACUGAUUACAACAUCAGCAAAAAUUAGUUAUAAACUUUUCCGGUGGUUUUAAAUCCCUCGGGCACUAAGAUUUUUUGCACAUCGAGUGAAUGAAGGAACAUAGGCAAUUCGUUCAGCAUACCAAGUCCUUGUUUAAGAUGCAAGUACUAAAAUGCAUCCUCUUCAUUAAUUUGGGAAAUUGCCAUAGUUUUUUUUUAAGCAUUUUGAUUUUUUACAUGAUUCAAAAUUUUCUUAUUGGAUACAAUCACUUUGUAUCAAGAACACAUUUUCAAUCAUCUUUUUUAUCUUCUCAAUAAGAAAAUAAAAAUUUAUUCAUGCUUUUCUAACAUAUCCAAUCAUUGAUCUGAAAAAUAAAGAAUUAAAAAAAAAAUACAUUUUCAAUCAUUGCUUACAGGGCAACUUCCCCAUGUGAACCUCUUCAAACAAAGCUAAUAAUAUGAAGGAACAUCUAAAUACACUUUUGCCCUAAAGACUGGUUGCCUUGGGGUCAAAAUUUAACCUUCGGGAGUAUAAUUACCCUGCCAAAUUUAUUAUUUUUUUAUGGGUAUAUAGUUCCAAUUUUUCCUCCUGUUAAGCUUAUAAAUAUAUUAUCACCCAGAAAAUAAAGGAAUCUUGAAUACUAACAUGUCCAUUGACUUGAGUUGUCAUCAAUUCGGCUACUUCGGCCAAUCUAAUUCACACUAGCUAGAGAAAAUGGAGAUAAAGGCACAUAGAAAAUUAUAUGUAAUAUUGAUUGGUAGUAACCACCUUGUAUUGAUCCCACUAUUGUGAAAAAAAAUUAUAAAAAAUUAGCAAAAUUUAAAAGAACAAAUUAAAUUUAUUCGUACAAAUCAGUCAAAGAAGUAGUAUUUUAAAGACCAUGAUGAAAUUAAUACUUUCAAGGUCUCUAUUAGGAAGACUUCCUUUGUUGGUGAAACUACACUAGGCACAGUUAUAUGCCUAAUUUCCUUGCCUUAAGCUGGGUGCAGAUGUUUAUAUUACAAAUAGAUGGUAUCAAAAAAUUGUUGUAAUCACGUCUGUUCUUUUUUUCUUCCUUAAUUUUUUUUCUUUAUUCUCGUGACUUCAAAAAUACGAACUCAAGAAAUUGGCUGCUCAAUCAGUACAUCAUACAGGCUUCGACAUUAAGGUAUAACUUCACAACUAGAGCCAAUAGAAAUCGUCAAAUGAUUUUUUGACAUCCAAUUUAAGCAAUAAAUUUUGUUUUCAUUUCAUAACAUAUAAUAGUACUACUUCAUGGGAGAUUUUAUAGUUUCUUUAGGGUAUCAUACCUACAAUUGAUAUUUGUCAUUGGAUAGUGAAAGAAGUGUUAAUGACUGUAAGAUUAAAUAUUGUUAAAUAUUGAAAAUUUAAACUAUUUAUCUUUAUUGAGAGAUACAACUUAAAGAAUCCUGUUUUUCAUAGAAUUUUCUCUGUUUUUCAUCAUCUGUAGACAUAAACUUUCCACGGUUGAUGUACUAUAAGGAAAUUUUGCCUAUACAAUGUGAUAGCAUUUUUUCAAAAAGAUCGACAAGAUGGAAAAUUGCCCCCUUGAACGGAAAAAAUCAUGAUCUUUCCUCAAACUAGUCUACUUGUCAAUUCUUUAAAAAAGAAUACUCGCUCCUAAGCAUAGCCUGUUCAUCUACACUGUCCCGAAGAAUUCUAUAAAGUUAGGCAAAACUAGACAAGUUGACAGGUAUAAUCAGACCCAAGAUCAGGAACAAGCAGUUGCACAUUUCAAAAUUCGCUGCUGCAACAACUAAUUUGAUGACUUACAACACUAAAUGUAAUUUUCACGUUACAUAAUAGAUUGAUAUCUAUGUUCUUUAAAUUAUCAUAAUAAUACUCUUAAUUAAAUUUAACUGAUAAAAAGUGUGAAACUAGUAAGGAAUAAAUAAUGGUGAUAAUGUACUUAAUAAUUUAACAACAGCACCAUCAGAAUUUGAGCUUUGUAUCUAUAAAUUCCACGAAUAAAUAGCUUCAUCAAAUCAAGAUUUACACUUUUCAUAAUGUUAAGUUUCCUUGACUUUCAAUGAGAUAUUUAUUAGUACCAUGCUUCGGUCUUAAACAAUGAUCACAAACGAUAGCAUCCUUUGAGUUGAAAAGGGAAGUAGUGAAAAAGAGAAGUAUAAAAUACAAUUAGCAUUCCCUCAAAUUGUAGAAAGUUAGGUAGCAUUAUAGACAAGUUGAUAGCCGUAAUUAUACUAAAAAUCAGGCAAAAGCCAGCAAUUUUACAUUUCAAAAUUCACCUAUUCAAUAACUAAUUCGAUGGCUUGCUACAUGGUCAAAAUUCACCACAUAUCCCUUUCCUCAAUCAGGGGCUUCUACAAUUACCAGUUCCAAUUGUAUGGUAUAGUUCCAAUUACCAGUUCCUCAAUCGUUCCGUCAAUUAACUGCACCAUACAAUCUAACCUGCAAUUGUAUGAACCCCAAUCUCGCUUCCUAAUCCACCAUUUUUCUCUAGGUAAUAAUCUCCCUUCUAAUUUCUUCACAAAAUGCACCUUUCAUCACCUCCAAUAGCGUCGACAUGAUCUUUACCCUAGAAGACUAUUCACCGACUCUCAAUUGACGUCAGAAAAUCUAAGAGUAAUUCUACUUUACCCUAAGAUUGAUAUCAACUAGACAAUGACAAUUUAGAAUUAUUACACGCCUGUUCCUAAUAGGAAAAAGAAAUAGAGAAGAAAGUACAGGCCUGGUCUAAUUUCUUUUCAAAGGCAAUACAACAUUACGAAAUCAAGCAUUCAUUCAUACAAAUAUUUCCUAGUCACCGAUUUGCGGAGUAGAAAAGUUUAUACAAAAACUUAAUAUUAUAUUGUUUAAGAGUUAACAAUUUAGAGCUUAAUCCUGAUACUAGCAUAAUUACCUAAUGAAUCGCGAUUGUCAAAUAAAUUUACAGUUUGAGGAAAACCCAUUCUAACGUGUACAAGUCAAAAACGUUUGUGUUGAGGUUUGGUUACGAUACCUUCCUAUUAUUUAAAAUCUCUCACAUAAUCUCCUUGUACUUUGGACUAAACUCGAACGUGAAAGGAAAUCCCAAAACCAUAUUGGGCAUGAAUUCACACAUAAUAGACCCAAAAAAAGGCAGCGGAGACUGGUGGAGAGAUUUGAGGAAUAGACGCAGACGGAAAAGCAACAAAUUUUGGCCGAAAAACGGUCACUUUCAUGGUUAAUUUUUCUACUCUCUAAUUGUACUUACCAAAUGCAACAGUGAAAUUGUAAUAUAAGCUGAAGAUGGAGUUUGAUACGUGAAAAGAAUUUUUUUAUAAAUUUUAUUUUGACCCAUAAUGUUAUCUUUAGAUACAUAAAAUAUUUUAAAAUUUUGAUUUUUGCCCAGUUAACUUUUGGUAAACAAAAAAUGCUCAUGUUUAAAAAACCGGAAAUAAAAUAAAACAAGAAAUGAAAGAAAUAAGAGGGUAGCAUAGACAUUUUGGAUUUUUCCGUUAAUUUGGAUGAUUUCCAUCCACAUUCUAAUUUAAUCCAAAACACAAAGGAAUUAUAUGGAGAUUUUUAAAUAAUGACGGAGUUUCGUGAUUGAAUCCCAAACCACAAGGGGAUUUACUAUGAAUGUUCACGAUUGAUAAAGUUAUCAAAGUACAGUUUCAGGACAACCCAUUCCAACGUGUACAAGAUGUUUAGCCUUUGAAAAGUUAAUUAGAGAAGGUGACGAGAUUUUACUAGGCUUACAUCUUCUAGGCCUCGAGAGUAAAAAAUGAAGGCCUUUGAGGGCUAUAAAAAGGGGGCUAGAUGUUGCCUAGAAGCAUAUCAGCCUCAGACCACAUUUUGUAGCAAUGGGGAGCAAAGCAAAAGCAAUUGGGUCAAGGCUGACUCCUCUUUUUACCACCGUUUUAGUGGUAUUUGUUGCUCUUGGCUUGCCUUCAGAAACUGCAGCUGAUUACGACGACUAUUCACCUCCUCCUCCUCCUUACCAUUAUUCCUCACCACCACCUCUAGUGCAUGCACCUCCACCACCUCCUCCAAUUUACAAGUCCCCGCCACCACCUUACCAUUAUUCCUCACCACCACCUCCAGUGCAUUCACCUCCACCACUUCCUCCAGUUGACAAGUCUCCGCCACCACCUUACCAUUAUUCCUCACCACCACCUCCUGUGCAAGCACCUCCACCACCAAUUUACAAGUCACCUCCACCACCUCCUCCAGUUUACAAGUCUCCACCACCACCUUACCAUUAUUCCUCACCACCACCUCCAGUGCAUUCACCCCCACCACCACCAGUUUUUAAGUCUCCGCCACCACCUUACCAUUAUUCCUCACCACCACCUCCUGUGCAUGCACCUCUACCACCAAUUUAC